GAGACAAUCAACCACAUACUUCUCGGCUGCGUCUUUGCUAGACAAGUGUGGUUCUCCAUUCUCGACCACUGGGACAACCUAACUUGGUUGCCAACUGCGGAUGACAAUCUGGUGGAAUGGUGGACCUCCAUCAACCCGCAGCCAAAGCUUAGGAAGGAGACUUGGACCGUCAUUGCAUUGGUGGCUUGGAUGUUGUGGAAACACAGAAAUGAUGUAGUGUUCAAUGGAGCGACAGCCUCCACAAGUGAGCUCCUCAGGAAGAUUGAUCUACAAGGGCAAGACUGGAGGGCGGCAGGGCGGCUGCGAGAGGCGGGAUCACUCCCGAUUAGAGUAGAUGAGUGGGCUAGUAGUGAGUAA
This 357-nucleotide ribosomal RNA is filed under the name Triticum aestivum (bread wheat). RNAcentral's name for it is "partial small subunit ribosomal RNA". The record is from RNAcentral. Lineage: Eukaryota; Viridiplantae; Streptophyta; Magnoliopsida; Poales; Poaceae.